This 102-nucleotide small RNA is filed under the name Klebsiella pneumoniae. RNAcentral's name for it is "partial RtT sRNA". It matches the Rfam family "RtT RNA", at positions 32 to 130 of the family's 130-position model. Rfam says of the family: This family represents a bacterial cis-regulatory element known as RtT RNA. The exact function of RtT is unknown although it is thought that it may be involved in changing the cellular response in relation to amino acid starvation. Lineage: Bacteria; Pseudomonadati; Pseudomonadota; Gammaproteobacteria; Enterobacterales; Enterobacteriaceae. The record is from RNAcentral.
UCGACUAAGGUUCGACUCGAGCGCCAGCGAGAGAACGUUGCCACAGGCAACGGCCCGAAGGGCGAGGAGAGAUAGCGACGAGUUAUCCUUCCCCCACCACCA